RNAcentral lists this transfer RNA (73 nucleotides) under Stegodyphus mimosarum. It matches the Rfam family "tRNA". From Rfam's summary of the family: Transfer RNA (tRNA) molecules are approximately 80 nucleotides in length. Their secondary structure includes four short double-helical elements and three loops (D, anti-codon, and T loops). Further hydrogen bonds mediate the characteristic L-shaped molecular structure. tRNAs have two regions of fundamental functional importance: the anti-codon, which is responsible for specific mRNA codon recognition, and the 3' end, to which the tRNAs corresponding amino acid is attached (by aminoacyl-tRNA synthetases). tRNAs cope with the degeneracy of the genetic code in two manners: having more than one tRNA (with a specific anti-codon) for a particular amino acid; and 'wobble' base-pairing, i.e. permitting non-standard base-pairing at the 3rd anti-codon position. The record is from Rfam by way of RNAcentral. Lineage: Eukaryota; Metazoa; Arthropoda; Arachnida; Araneae; Eresidae.
GCCUUCGUGAUGUAGUGGUCAGCACGCUCGACGCGUAACCGAGAGAUCCGUGGUUCGAUUCCCGGAGAAGGCG